UACGAAGGGGGCUAGCGUUGCUCGGAAUUACUGGGCGUAAAGCGCACGUAGGCGGCUCUUUAAGUCGGGGGUGAAAUCCUGGAGCUCAACUCCAGAACUGCCUUCGAUACUGAAGAGCUUGAGUCCGGGAGAGGUGAGUGGAACUGCGAGUGUAGAGGUGAAAUUCGUAGAUAUUCGCAAGACCACCAGUGGCGAAGGCGGCUCACUGGCCCGGUACUGACGCUGAGGUGCGAAAGCGUGGGGAGCAAACAGG
RNAcentral lists this ribosomal RNA (253 nucleotides) under uncultured bacterium. Its description in RNAcentral is "partial 16S ribosomal RNA". It matches the Rfam family "Bacterial small subunit ribosomal RNA", at positions 524 to 776 of the family's 1533-position model. The record is from RNAcentral.